RNAcentral lists this ribosomal RNA (253 nucleotides) under uncultured bacterium. Its description in RNAcentral is "partial 16S ribosomal RNA". It matches the Rfam family "Bacterial small subunit ribosomal RNA", at positions 524 to 776 of the family's 1533-position model. The record is from RNAcentral.
UACGGAGGGGGCUAGCGUUGUUCGGAAUUACUGGGCGUAAAGCGCACGUAGGCGGCUUUGCAAGUUAGAGGUGAAAGCCCGGGGCUCAACUCAGGAACUGCGUCCGAUACUGGUUGGCUUGAAUCCGGGAGAGGGAUGUGGAAUUCCAGGUGUAGCGGUGAAAUGCGUAGAUAUCUGGAGGAACACCGGUGACGAAGGCGACAUCCUGGACCGGUAUUGACGCUGAGGCGCGAAAGCCAGGGGAGCAAACGGG